GCUAUUAUAGUUUAAAUAUAGAAUAUAUAACUUGUAAUUAUAAGGUUUUGAGUAGCU
This 57-nucleotide transfer RNA is filed under the name Oscheius chongmingensis. Its description in RNAcentral is "tRNA-Thr". The record is from RNAcentral. Lineage: Eukaryota; Metazoa; Nematoda; Chromadorea; Rhabditida; Rhabditidae.